This 406-nucleotide ribosomal RNA is filed under the name uncultured prokaryote. RNAcentral's name for it is "bacterial SSU rRNA". It matches the Rfam family "Bacterial small subunit ribosomal RNA", at positions 355 to 776 of the family's 1533-position model. The record is from RNAcentral.
UGGGGAAUAUUGGGCAAUGGGGGGAACCCUGACCCAGCAACGCCGCGUGAAGGAAGAAGGUUUUCGGAUUGUAAACUUCUGUCCUUGGUGAAGAGGAAGAGACGGUAGCCAAGGAGGAAGCCCCGGCUAACUACGUGCCAGCAGCCGCGGUAAUACGUAGGGCGCAAGCGUUGUCCGGAAUUAUUGGGCGUAAAGAGCUCGUAGGCGGUUUGUCGCGUCUGCUGUGAAAACCCGAGGCUCAACCUCGGGCUUGCAGUGGGUACGGGCAGACUAGAGUGCGGUAGGGGAGACUGGAAUUCCUGGUGUAGCGGUGGAAUGCGCAGAUAUCAGGAGGAACACCGAUGGCGAAGGCAGGUCUCUGGGCCGCAACUGACGCUGAGGCGCGAAAGCGUGGGGAGCAAACAGG